CCUACGGGCGGCUGCAGUGAGGAAUAUUGGUCAAUGGGCGCGAGCCUGAACCAGCCAAGCAGCGUGAAGGAUGAAUGCCCUACGGGUUGUAAACUUCUUUUAUAAAGGAAUAAAGUGAGGCACGUGUGCCUUUUUGUAUGUACUUUAUGAAUAAGGAUCGGCUAACUCCGUGCCAGCAGCCGCGGUAAUACGGAGGAUCCGAGCGUUAUCCGGAUUUAUUGGGUUUAAAGGGAGCGUAGAUGGGUUGUUAAGUCAGUUGUGAAAGUUUGCGGCUCAACCGUAAAAGAGCAAUUGAUACUGGCAGGCUGGAGUACAGUUGAGGUAGGCGGAAUUCGUGGUGUAGCGGUGAAAUGCUUAGAUAUCACGAAGAACCCCGAUUGCGAAGGCAGCUUACUAAACUGCCACUGACGCUGAGGCUCGAAAGUGUGGGUAUCAAACAGGAUUAGAUACCCGGGUAGUC
RNAcentral lists this ribosomal RNA (460 nucleotides) under uncultured bacterium. RNAcentral describes it as "partial 16S ribosomal RNA". It matches the Rfam family "Bacterial small subunit ribosomal RNA", at positions 338 to 795 of the family's 1533-position model. The record is from RNAcentral.